CUUCUUGAAUAUAAUUGGAAGUCGGACCUGUCCACUGAUAAUUAUUGAAGGGCCGCGGUAUUUUGACCGUGCAAAGGUAGCAUAAUCAUUAGUCUCUUAAUUGUGGACUGGAAUGAAUGGUUUGACGAAAUAAUAACUGUCUCAUAUUUAAUUAAUUGAAUUUUACUUUUAAGUUAAAAGGCUUAAAUUUUGGUAAGGGACGAGAAGACCCUAUAGAUCUUUAUGAUUAUUUUAUAUUAUAUAUUUUAGAAUGUUUAGAUAUCUUAUAAUUUUAAUUAUUUUAUUGGGGUGAUAUGAGAAUAUUAUAACUUCUUAAUUUUUGACUUUGAUGGAUGGAUAUUUGAUCUUUUAUUAUGGAAUUAAGAUUAAGAUACCUUAGGGAUAACAGCGUUAUUUUAUUGGAGAGUUCUUAUUGAUAAUGUAGAUUGCGACCUCGAUGUUGGAUUAAGAAUAUAUAUAUUGGUGCAGAUGUUAAUAAUAUUGGUCUGUUC
RNAcentral lists this ribosomal RNA (491 nucleotides) under Cardiodactylus busu. RNAcentral's name for it is "partial large subunit ribosomal RNA". It matches the Rfam family "Bacterial large subunit ribosomal RNA", at positions 1821 to 2582 of the family's 2925-position model. Lineage: Eukaryota; Metazoa; Arthropoda; Insecta; Orthoptera; Gryllidae. The record is from RNAcentral.